Molecule: ribosomal RNA, 253 nt
Filed under: uncultured bacterium
Lineage: Bacteria
Description: partial 16S ribosomal RNA
Rfam family: Bacterial small subunit ribosomal RNA
Source: RNAcentral
UACGAAGGGGGCUAGCGCUGCUCGGAAUUACUGGGCGUAAAGGGCGCGUAGGCGGACAGUUUAGUCAGAGGUGAAAGCCCAGGGCUCAACCUUGGAAUAGCCUUUGAUACUGGCUGUCUUGAGUUCGGGAGAGGUGAGUGGAAUGCCGAGUGUAGAGGUGAAAUUCGUAGAUAUUCGGCGGAACACCAGUGGCGAAGGCGACUCACUGGCCCGAUACUGACGCUGAGGCGCGAAAGCGUGGGGAGCAAACAGG